Molecule: ribosomal RNA, 203 nt
Filed under: uncultured bacterium
Lineage: Bacteria
Description: partial 16S ribosomal RNA
Rfam family: Bacterial small subunit ribosomal RNA
Source: RNAcentral
ACGCUCGACACCUACGGGAGCAGCAGUGGGGGAUAUUGCACAAUGGGGGAAACCCUGAUGCAGCGACGCCGCGUGGAGGAAGAAGGUUUUCGGAUUGUAAACUCCUGUCGUACGGGACGAUAAUGACGGUACCGUACAAGAAAGCCACGGCUAACUACGUGCCAGCACGCCGACGGUAAUCUGAGGCGGGCGUGGACGAAGGC